UCCGAAUCUUCUGGGCUACACGCGCGCAACAAUGGUGCAGACAGUGGGAUGCAACUCCGAAAGGAGAAGCGAAUCCUCUAAACUGCAUCGUAGUUCAGAUUGAGGGUUGUAACUCACCCUCAUGACGUUGGAAUCCCUAGUAAUCGAACGUUAUCAGCGUUCGGUGAAUAUGUCCCUGCUCCUUGCACUCACCGCCCGUCAAACCACCCGAGUAGGGUCUAGAUGAGGCUUCAUUUUCAAUGAAGUCGAAUCUAAGCUUUGCGAGGAGGGUUAAGUCGUCACAAGGUAGCCGUAGGGGAACCUGCGGCUGGAUCACCUCCU
This 321-nucleotide ribosomal RNA is filed under the name Nanobdellota archaeon. RNAcentral's name for it is "bacterial SSU rRNA". It matches the Rfam family "Archaeal small subunit ribosomal RNA", at positions 1155 to 1478 of the family's 1478-position model. The record is from RNAcentral. Lineage: Archaea; Nanobdellati; Nanobdellota.